RNAcentral lists this ribosomal RNA (253 nucleotides) under uncultured prokaryote. Its description in RNAcentral is "partial 16S ribosomal RNA". It matches the Rfam family "Bacterial small subunit ribosomal RNA", at positions 524 to 776 of the family's 1533-position model. The record is from RNAcentral.
UACGUAGGGGGCAAGCGUUGUUCGGAAUUACUGGGCGUAAAGCGCGUGUAGGCGGUCUGGCAAGUCAGAUGUGAAAGCCCCGGGCUCAACUUGGGAACUGCAUUUGAUACUGCCAAGCUAGAGUACAGAAGAGGUGACUGGAAUUCCCAGUGUAGCGGUGAAAUGCGUAGAGAUGUGGAGGAACACCGAUGGCGAAGGCAGCCCCCUGGGUCAAAACUGACGCUCAUGCACGAAAGCGUGGGGAGCAAACAGG